Molecule: small RNA, 73 nt
Filed under: Xanthomonas sp. CFBP 7698
Lineage: Bacteria; Pseudomonadati; Pseudomonadota; Gammaproteobacteria; Lysobacterales; Lysobacteraceae
Description: sX9 sRNA
Rfam family: Xanthomonas sRNA sX9
Source: RNAcentral
AGGUACCGCUCGUACACUGCGGUGCUGAGCGCACCGCCCGCACCGGCCUGACGACCGCUACGUUUUGUUGGCC